This 597-nucleotide ribosomal RNA is filed under the name uncultured Synechococcus sp. RNAcentral's name for it is "bacterial SSU rRNA". It matches the Rfam family "Bacterial small subunit ribosomal RNA", at positions 673 to 1270 of the family's 1533-position model. The record is from RNAcentral. Lineage: Bacteria; Bacillati; Cyanobacteriota; Cyanophyceae; Synechococcales; Synechococcaceae.
GUGUAGCGGUGAAAUGCGUAGAUAUCGGGAAGAACACCAGUGGCGAAGGCGCUCUGCUGGGCCAUCACUGACGCUCAUGGACGAAAGCCAGGGGAGCGAAAGGGAUUAGAUACCCCUGUAGUCCUGGCCGUAAACGAUGAACACUAGGUGUCGGGGGAAUCGACCCCUCCGGUGUCGUAGCCAACGCGUUAAGUGUUCCGCCUGGGGAGUACGCACGCAAGUGUGAAACUCAAAGGAAUUGACGGGGGCCCGCACAAGCGGUGGAGUAUGUGGUUUAAUUCGAUGCAACGCGAAGAACCUUACCAGGGUUUGACAUCCUGCGAAUCUCUUGGAAACUUGAGAGUGCCUUCGGGAGCGCAGUGACAGGUGGUGCAUGGCUGUCGUCAGCUCGUGUCGUGAGAUGUUGGGUUAAGUCCCGCAACGGGCGCAACCCACGUCUUUAGUUGCCAGCAUUUAGUUGGGCACUCUAGAGAGACCGCCGGUGAUAAACCGGAGGAAGGUGUGGAUGACGUCAAGUCAUCAUGCCCCUUACAUCCUGGGCUACACACGUACUACAAUGCUACGGACAAAGGGCAGCAAGUUCGCGAGGACAAGCAA